GGGGAAUAUUGGACAAUGGGGGCAACCCUGAUCCAGCAAUGCCGCGUGUGUGAAGAAGGCCUGAGGGUUGUAAAGCACUUUUGUAGAGGAGGAUGGUAGACCAUGUUAAGAGCUAGGUUUAUUGACGUUACUCUAAGAAUAAGCACCGGCUAACUCCGUGCCAGCAGCCGCGGUAAUACGGAGGGUGCAAGCGUUAAUCGGAAUUACUGGGCGUAAAGGGUGCGUAGGCGGUUGAGUAAGUUAUCUGUGAAAUCCCUGGGCUUAACCUGGGUAGGAAAGAUGAUACUGCUUAACUAGAGUGUGGUAGAGGAUAGUGGAAUUUCCGGUGUAGCGGUGAAAUGCGUAGAGAUCGGAAGGAACACCAGUGGCGAAGGCGGCUAUCUGGACCAACACUGACGCUGAGGCACGAAAGCGUGGGGAGCAAACAGGA
Molecule: ribosomal RNA, 430 nt
Filed under: uncultured Legionella sp.
Lineage: Bacteria; Pseudomonadati; Pseudomonadota; Gammaproteobacteria; Legionellales; Legionellaceae
Description: bacterial SSU rRNA
Rfam family: Bacterial small subunit ribosomal RNA
Source: RNAcentral